CCACUUUUGAUGAGCCAUACGUUUGGAUUUUGUGCACAUCCUGGCCUAAAAACCAUGACAAAAGGAGGCAAUGCAGGCUUCAAGCAAACAAAUCAAUUUAUUAUUAGUUCCAACUUGGAAUAAGCUUACAAAACACUAACAAUGUGCUGUGUAGUCACUCAGUGGUGUAGGGUGGGUGAGUGAGGUGUUAAAAAUUAGUGGAUAAAGAGAAGAGGCAGCCAGGGCAGAAGCCAUCGCCAAGCCUGGGUGCAUCCAACUGAUACUGGAUUAUAACUCCCCCUACCUGUCAAAUCAUGGAAAAGAGAGCAAAGAAAGACAAAGCUGAUGGACAAGAAGACUGUUGCACCACAUACAGGCCUCAAAGGAAAGCAAAGUGUAACUAAUAUGCAUAAAUUACAGGCUGAGUCAUACCCUUGGCAUGUCCACAAAUUUUACACACUAGUGAUGUUCCCUCUGAUACUGAGGCUCCAGAGCUUGCUUCAAAUCAGGAAAAACCAUGUGAAUGACGUUCAAACCACUUCUCUGCUUCAUUCAGAUUGAAUCAGAUGACUGGUUUGGUUCAAUAGGCAGAGCUUUGAAACAUUGGCAUGAUACAGAUGUAUUUAAGAUGGAUGAAACCACGCUCUGUCCUACCUAGUCGACACAUUUUGGAUUGCCUCACUAUGGAGCCAUCAAGGAAACGGUCACAAGUGUGGGAACAUUUUGUAUUGGUGCCAUCGAAGAAGUCCAACGAAUGCUGAUGCGGCUGUGCGCCACUUGAAGUCGGUGUGCUGCCUUAAUCCAAAACGCACCCCAUGACGAUGUAUCAACACCGGCACAUCCAGAACCUGCUGCGGCUUCCACGGGCAUUGACCUGUGGAAGCUGCUCGACAAAAAUGCAGAAGAUGCCAGAAAAUCUCAGAACGCUACUGCAGAUGCCAUUGUGGAGGUUCAGUGAUAUCUGUUUGCUCCUCCUCUGGACAGAUCACAGGUCCUCUUAGGUUACUGGACGAUGCACAAAUACUCAUACCUGUUCAACCUGGACAAACGGUUCCUGGCAACACCAGCAUCUUCUGUGCCUUGUGAAAGGGUGUUCUCCAAAGCUGGGGAAGAUGUCUCACCUUUGCAAGGCUGUACCACAACCACUGUGCCAGCAGAUGCCACCCACAUGCUCAAUGAAUGAAGCUUCGAGUAGUGAACCAAUUUUUGAUACAAUGGUCCAAAGGGGUUCAAAGCUUCACGGGGCAUCAUAUGGCCAUCACUAAUACAAACUAUCUAGGCCUCCGUU
This is a long non-coding RNA of Monopterus albus (swamp eel), 1267 nucleotides long. RefSeq lists it as uncharacterized. The record is from RefSeq and is a predicted model, not a curated record. NCBI's taxonomy places the organism in Eukaryota, Metazoa, Chordata, Actinopteri, Synbranchiformes, Synbranchidae. The transcript is spliced from 3 exons.